RNAcentral lists this ribosomal RNA (253 nucleotides) under uncultured bacterium. RNAcentral describes it as "partial 16S ribosomal RNA". It matches the Rfam family "Archaeal small subunit ribosomal RNA", at positions 474 to 727 of the family's 1478-position model. The record is from RNAcentral.
UACCAGCACCCCGAGUGGUCGGGGCGAUUAUUGGGCCUAAAGCAUCCGUAGCCGGCCUUACAAGUCCCCCGUUAAAUCCAACUGCUUAACAGAUGGGCUGCGGAGGAUACUAUAAGACUAGGAGGCAGGAGAGGCAAGCGGUACUCAGUGGGUAGGGGUAAAAUCCUCUGAUCCAUUGAAGACCACCAGUGGCGAAGGCGGCUUGCCAGAACGCGCUCGACGGUGAGGGAUGAAAGCUGGGGGAGCAAACCGG